Molecule: long non-coding RNA, 622 nt
Organism: Sander lucioperca (pikeperch)
Lineage: Eukaryota; Metazoa; Chordata; Actinopteri; Perciformes; Percidae
Exons: 2
Source: RefSeq, a predicted model, not a curated record
ACUACUUUGGAGAAAGAACAUCAACGGUGAGAAGUAAGAGCUGGAUUAUUAUGUUGGAGAGAGGACAGACAGACAGUCAGACCUGUAACUGAAAGGUCUGUAAUCUACCUAACUGACCAGACUGACUGACUGCGUCCUCGUCUCCAAAUGUCUCCGUUUGUGUCGUCCAGACUACAAAACAACCUCGGAGUUUUCAGACCACAACGAGGGCAGCAGAGUCUCCAAAUGUUAAAGUUUUAGGGGCUCGGAGACGCUGCAGUAGUGCAGACGCCGCAGUAGUGCAGACGCUGGAGAGUAAACGUAGCUAAAGAUAUUAGUUUAAAAUCAAAACGUAGUAGUGUAGAUGUUGUCUUAAUCGUACCAGAUCGUGAUGCAGCUCUGUCAGAAAGAAGAGGCAUCCUGUCAUCCAAUGGAAACACGAAAUAGGACCAAAACAGAGGCUCAACUAGCACAGCGUGCGUCUGUGUAUAUACUUUUCUAUUUAAAUAAAUCCAUUAUAUGAUGUAAUGAAUGUUGGCCUCCCCAAAUAAACAAAGGCAAUGUGGUUGUUCUAACCUGAUACAAUAGCAGCCUUCAUUCAAAUCCAUCCAUCGUUAAUUCAUUAAUUCACUUUGAGAUACAG